Molecule: non-coding RNA, 311 nt
Organism: Zootoca vivipara (common lizard)
Lineage: Eukaryota; Metazoa; Chordata; Lepidosauria; Squamata; Lacertidae
Source: RefSeq, a predicted model, not a curated record
UCUUUCUUCAUCUUUGGCUAUUUCAGGCCUGGGGUUUCAUGCCAGCUAUUGGUGCAGGAACCUUGAUACAAAACUGGCUCGUAGGUGCUACGAAAUCAAAGUCAUCCCUGAGAAUAUACUGUCUGGAAUGAUGGCUGUUUACCUGGCAUUCACCAUCCUCGAAUUCUGCAUCUCCAUCUCCACUGCUGCCUUUGGGUGCAAGACGGUGUGCUUGAAAACCCACACAGAAACGGUUGUGGUGGUUUACCAGAACACGAUUCUGGGCAGUGCUAAUGCUGCCAAUCUCCCGGCUUCUGGCAAGGAUGCAAAAU